Perca flavescens (yellow perch) is the source of this 418-nucleotide long non-coding RNA. RefSeq lists it as uncharacterized. Lineage: Eukaryota; Metazoa; Chordata; Actinopteri; Perciformes; Percidae. The record is from RefSeq and is a predicted model, not a curated record. The transcript is spliced from 4 exons.
CUCACCACUCCCACCCUACCUCCUCCUACCCUUCCUACUCCCACCCUGCCAGCCACUGUCACCACUUUACCUGCCUCAGCUGUAGAUCUCAGUAGGAAGAAAAAGGAGAGGAGAAAAAGUAAUGACUGUUCCUAUUGCCACCAGGAAAUUUUUGAUGGGAAUGUCCUUCGUGAAAGACAUAAAAAGGGGCAGAAACAGCUAUUUAUGCAGUGGCAUCCUUGCCCUUUAUGUGGCAAAAGGUGGAGGUCAUCGUGGACCAAUGUGGAGAAUAUUGUGUAAAUAAGGAAGAAGAAAAUAAAUGAUAAUAGUCAUCUUUAUCUUCACCUGGUCUUUAUGUCUUGUCUCUGUUUUGCUCAGCUAAUGACAUGAACUACAUUCUGGAGAGGAAGUUAAAUAAAUAGGCCCAUGUAUAAAAAAA